Molecule: ribosomal RNA, 479 nt
Filed under: uncultured bacterium
Lineage: Bacteria
Description: partial 16S ribosomal RNA
Rfam family: Bacterial small subunit ribosomal RNA
Source: RNAcentral
GGAUGAACGCUAGCGGCAGGCUUAACACAUGCAAGUCGAGGGGUAUUUAUCUUCGGAUCGAGAGACCGGCGCACGGGUGCGUAACGCGUAUGCAAUCUACCUUUUACAGAGGGAUAGCCCAGAGAAAUUUGGAUUAAUACCUCAUAGUAUAUAGACUCGGCAUCGAGAUUAUAUUAAAGUCACAACGGUAAAAGAUGAGCAUGCGUCCCAUUAGCUAGUUGGUAAGGUAACGGCUUACCAAGGCUACGAUGGGUAGGGGUCCUGAGAGGGAGAUCCCCCACACUGGUACUGAGACACGGACCAGACUCCUACGGGAGGCAGCAGUGAGGAAUAUUGGACAAUGGGCGCAAGCCUGAACCAGCCAUGCCGCGUGCAGGAUGACGGUCCUAUGGAUUGUAAACUGCUUUUAUACGAGAAGAAACACUGCUACGUGUAGCAGCUUGACGGUAUCGUAAGAAUAAGGAUCGGCUAACUCCGUG